This 181-nucleotide microRNA precursor is filed under the name Oryza sativa Japonica Group (Japanese rice). RNAcentral describes it as "MIR812 microRNA precursor family". It matches the Rfam family "MIR812 microRNA precursor family". Lineage: Eukaryota; Viridiplantae; Streptophyta; Magnoliopsida; Poales; Poaceae. The record is from Rfam by way of RNAcentral.
AAUAAGUACAGUUUUGCACUAUUCACGUUUAAUGUUUGACUGUUCGUCUUAUUUGAAAAUUUUUUAUGAUUAGUAUUUUUAUUGCUAUUAGAUGAUAAAACAUGAAUAGUACUCUAUGUGUGACUAAAUAUCUUUAAAUUUGGUCAAACGUUGUGCACGGAUAUUCACGGCUGCACUUAUU